ACUCCUACGGGAGGCAGCAGUAGGGAAUCUUCCACAAUGGGCGAAAGCCUGAUGGAGCAACGCCGCGUGGGUGAAGAAGGUCUUCGGAUCGUAAAACCCUGUUGUUAGAGAAGAAAGUGCGUGAGAGUAACUGUUCACGUUUCGACGGUAUCUAACCAGAAAGCCACGGCUAACUACGUGCCAGCAGCCGCGGUAAUACGUAGGUGGCAAGCGUUAUCCGGAUUUAUUGGGCGUAAAGGGAACGCAGGCGGUCUUUUAAGUCUGAUGUGAAAGCCUUCGGCUUAACCGGAGUAGUGCAUUGGAAACUGGGAGACUUGAGUGCAGAAGAGGAGAGUGGAACUCCAUGUGUAGCGGUGAAAUGCGUAGAUAUAUGGAAGAACACCAGUGGCGAAAGCGGCUCUCUGGUCUGCAACUGACGCUGAGACUCGAAAGCAUGGGUAGCGAACAGGAUUAGAUACCCUGGUAGGAUAGCG
RNAcentral lists this ribosomal RNA (473 nucleotides) under uncultured bacterium. RNAcentral's name for it is "bacterial SSU rRNA". It matches the Rfam family "Bacterial small subunit ribosomal RNA", at positions 335 to 801 of the family's 1533-position model. The record is from RNAcentral.